This is a long non-coding RNA of Peromyscus eremicus (cactus mouse), 365 nucleotides long. RefSeq lists it as uncharacterized. The transcript is spliced from 3 exons. The record is from RefSeq and is a predicted model, not a curated record. NCBI's taxonomy places the organism in Eukaryota, Metazoa, Chordata, Mammalia, Rodentia, Cricetidae.
GGAAGGCUGUCACCACACUCCCAACACGGCCACUGUAGGCACAAACAAAGAGGAAGCUGCUACCGAGAAAAACUGCAGGAGGCAGGAGGACAGAGGCCCAGGGCACAGGCCAGGAUGCUGGGACACAGCCCCCGCCCCUCCCCCAGGAUGUCGAUAAAAGAUGGUAGCAGAUGAAGAUGUCUGAUAAAGAUGUUCUCAGGCUGAAUGAACUGGAGCUGGAGAAGGAGACACUGUCCUGGAGAGAAGAGGAAGAUACAAAGCCAGGGGCCUGAAAGAGAAAUCUUUGGAGCCUGCUGGUGCAAUAGCAGUGAAAAGUUAACCUGACUCGAAUACCGGUGACUUUUGUUCUAUUUGGAGUUGACCAU